This 497-nucleotide ribosomal RNA is filed under the name uncultured bacterium. Its description in RNAcentral is "partial 16S ribosomal RNA". It matches the Rfam family "Bacterial small subunit ribosomal RNA", at positions 28 to 507 of the family's 1533-position model. The record is from RNAcentral.
GAUGAACGCUGGCGGCGUGCCUAAUACAUGCAAGUCGAGCGAACAGAUGAGGAGCUUGCUCCUCUGACGUUAGCGGCGGACGGGUGAGUAACACGUGGAUAACCUACCUAUAAGACUGGGAUAACUUCGGGAAACCGGAGCUAAUAUCGGAUAAUAUAUUGAACCGCGUGGUUCAAUAGUGAAAGACGGUUUUGCUGUCACUUAUAGAUGGAUCCGCGCCGCAUUAGCUAGUUGGUAAGGUAACGGCUUACCAAGGCAACGAUGCGUAGCCGACCUGAGAGGGUGAUCGGCCACACUGGAACUGAGACACGGUCCAGACUCCUACGGGAGGCAGCAGUAGGGAAUCUUCCGCAAUGGGCGAAAGCCUGACGGAGCAACGCCGCGUGAGUGAUGAAGGUCUUCGGAUCGUAAAACUCUGUUAUUAGGGAAGAACAAAUGUGUAAGUAACUAUGCACGUCUUGACGGUACCUAAUCAGAAAGCCACGGCUAACUACGUG